CAUGCGAUGCUCCAGGUUCCCCUGCAGCAGUUUGUCCGUUACCACUUGUUUGAUGCACGGUGGCUUUUCAAAUUAAAAACAGAAUGUCAAAGUUUUCCUGUUCCUGUUAGCAUCUGAGCGUCGCAGUUAUUACAUUACAGGUCAUUUAGCAGACGCUUUUAUCCGAAGCGACUUACAUUACACCAACAACCUUGAGCUUCCCAGCACACCUUCUCUAACCCCUGCGCCACGACAACCCCAAUAAUGACGCCGCUGGGCUCACCUUGGAGUUAGAUAAUAGCACCGUGAGUCAUGCCCAUUGGGCCCCCGACUCAGAGCUCAGUCCUUUGGAGGGCGAUGCCCGGGUCAGCGGGGGGCCGACACUCGCCGAUGUCCCGCCGGUUUGAGAGGAAAAGGUGAGAGAAGCACCGUCAGCGCGAGGGCGGCAGACGGAGGCCACUGCCGCCGAAAUGUUUGAUUAAGUGCGGCGUCCUUUGCGUGGCAUCGGGAGACGCAUCGACGCGGACGCCAGGCGGUUGCAUGGAGAUGUAACACCUUAACCCACCGGCGCGUGUUCGGCGCGUCGCGCCGCGCAGGGCCGCGCCCCAGCAGGCCGCGCCCGCAGGGUUCUGUGUUGUUUAUGAGCAGCACCGGAGCGCUUCAGUCACUGCCGCCCGUCUCAUUAGAGCGUCACACAGCGGGAAUGUCGCGUUGUGUUAGUUUGUCACCCUCGGUGUGUGCACCAACGUGUGUGUGUGUGUGUGUGUGUGUGCGCGCUCUCUUGCGUCUUCAUUGGAGUUGAAAAAAGAUCCCAAAUGCAAAUCUGCGCUGAAACGGCGCCAAUCGCAAUAAAAACGCCAACGUUUUCAACCGCCAUUAUUCAUCUUCUCUUUAUUUCCCUGUUCCGCCGAUGAAUGACUGCAAGCCGAUCCAUCCGUCCUGCCGGAGUCGUGGCGGGAGGGAGCGGCGAGAGAGACAGAGAAGCGGGAAAAGGGCACGCAGGGAGCCGACGACAGCCGGAGAAAGAGGGAUGCCGGAGCUGUUCAAUUAACUUCCCCUCUUUGUUCGGCCAGCCGGUGGUUCGUUGAUCCAGAGGAGAUAAAUAUUAUACAGCAUUGGUUCCAUUCAUCCUGCAAAAUCAAUUCUCUCUUUCCCUUCCUAGCUGCCGCCUUUUUCCUCUCCCUACUCUCUCACUUAUUCAAGUGAAAAAAAAAGAAGUGCCAGAGAAAAUGAAUCGCUGCCUUUCUAAUAAGUGGUCCUAAUACAGAUGAAUGGUGUUGGAUCUCAGAGCGGUGAAGCCUCUCAACCCGUCUGCCACCUAGUUUCAUUUAGCUCCAUAAUAAACAGCCAGCGCGAGCGAAAGCAAUCUCCCAGUGCUUCAGUCUUUCGCUAAAUAUAUAUUUGUAUAUUCCCCCACUGCUGCCUGGAGCCCAGGCCAGGCCUCUCCGUGGCACGGAUAAGAAUUAACCAGCAUGUGGUGAAUGUAUGUAUUUGAUACGUAAAAAUGAUUAAGUGGAUGCUUUGAUCAAAACCAAUGGAAUGUUGCUGCGCAGAAGCUUUGUGGAAUCGGCAAAAUGACUCGAGGGGCAUCACAGAUGAGAUUGACACAUCCGCAGUACCUUUCCAGGAACAAUGCUAUUGUUUCUCCAGACAAUCCAUUGAACACGCUCUCUGCAGCAUCGCUGGGAAUGUGUUCUACUGAGGAAAUAAACACCGUCCACAGUGUAAUCCAUACAAACCACCCUAAUCACACCCAACACCCCCCCCACAUCCACCAUGACAGAGGCUCUCCCUUCCUCACUAAUCCAAAUUCCACCCCCGGCUGCAGCUACUUUCAGCUCGUUGUUUGGGUUUUCUGACCCAUUACUUUACAUUAGUGUAUCGGCUCCCCGUCGUUUCUCUCGUCCGUGUUUCCAGGCGGCUGCAGCGGCCGGCUUGUUUCAGCAAAUAAAAAGCCCGAACCGCUACCUGUCCAGCAUCAGACCGCAGACAGACACACAAGCUGGUAGAGAAAUUGGAGCAUUAGGCAGCUAAUGGGCGAGGUAUUUCCCUCGGGACUUUGGCGGCUAACCAGGGAGCUAAAAGCAGAGUGAACGUCGGACCAGUUCACCAAUCAUGUGACUCCAAACGAAAACUAACAUUGUGCUGAAUGUGUAAAUUGGCUGUUUUUGCACACAUCACCUCUCACGGCGUUGCACUCGUCUUGCACAGUCUUUUGUUUUAUGCUUGUUAAUAUAUGUGGGCUGUGCGUCCUCACCAUCUGCAGCUUGAGUUCUCUGCCCGCCCGUUUCUACAUUACAUUACAUGUCAUUUAGCUGAGGCUUUUUAUCCAAAGACGUUCAAUAAGUGCAUAAGAACAAGAAACAAGAAAGUGCAAUUUCAUCCAAUAAGCCGAUUUACAACUUGCUAUAGAUAAGAGACAUAUUUGGAUCCCGGUUAUGACCCUGCCAGAUCUCUUUGUAAUUGUCUCUAUGUGGUUCUAGUAAUUAUUUCUCUUUUCUAACCUUUAUCUAAAUCUUAUACUCAUGUAUCUACAGUGUGAAAAGGAGAAGCGAGGAAGUACCUGCUUAUAUCUAGCAACACGGGUCCUCUAGCAGGUUAAAAACAUGACAAACACAAACUCGACUACUUCCUCCUUACUGAUCUAUCCGUGCACUCUCAUGUUUCAACAAAGGAGCACGGCCAUUCGCACAAGAACCUUUUAUUGACGCUUAUGAAUCAAAGUUUUGGAGAAUCUGUGCUUCGAUACAUCUCACACAUGCAUCGAUGCACGUGUGCUGCAGACAUGUGGACCUUACAUUGCUAUCACACAAGCCCAUGAACGGACACGCCACAGGCGUAUUGACACACGCGUGUAGGUAACAGAUGAAGCUCAUGCAGGUACGCGAAUUAACAAAUUAUUAACUAGUGCACCCACAAAGAAAAGCUGUUGAAAAACCUUCUGUCCAUCAAAAAUAAAGUAGCUUUUACCAUUUGAAAUGAAAAUAAUGCAGAAAUCAUUAUGUGCAAAUGACUAGAAUAUUUUUUAUUCAAAGCAAAUAACAAAUAACGGCCAAUCUACUUUGCAUUGUGUCAUUUGUCAAGAAACGACUGUAUCCAGCACUUUGUGGGUUGUGUGUUGUUGAAUGGAAUGUUCAUGCAUGCUCAAACGGACAGGAAAUGAUGUUCCCGGGGCAAAACGACUUGAAAAUGAAAAUAAGUCCUUUUCAAGGCUGAGUGCAAAGAGGGACGAGAGCAUGCAGAGAUGGCGAAUGUUGUAAAAGCCUCGAUGAAUCACCUCUCCUCGGAACCUCUGCCUGCUUUUCUACUUCUCUUUCAAUCAUUUCCCCUCUUCAGGCCCCUUUUCACCUCCUGGCCCUCGCUCCUCUCUCCUUCUUUGUCUUUUCCAUCAUCAACUUCCUCUCUCUAAUCCACCUUUUGAACCACUUUGCAGUCUUACCUUUGACCUUUUCACGCAUUUCUCAUUAACCGUCUCUCCUCUCACCACCUUCCUUCAUUUCUUUAGCUCCUCCUUCCCUCCUCGCGGCCUCCAGUGUUCGCUCUCCCAAUGUCUUCCUUCAUUUUAGCUUUCCUCUCAGCCGAGGCUGCGCAGUGACUAAUUGCCCUUGUCAACGCAACUUUCCAUUAUUGACACAUUAGCGUAUGUGCCUCCGGCUACAGCUCUCUCCUCCGUUUGCCGGGGAGGGUCAGCGAGGUCAUUUUUCUCCACACACAUUUGCAUCUUUGUUGAAAGUGAAGGACGAGCCGAGGGAGGUGAAAAGGUUCAUAGUGGAUCAAAUGCAUGAAAUGUAACGGUAUGGUGUUGAUUUUGUGUGAUUAUUGCCUGAGCCUCAAAAUGGAAAAAAAAAAAGGAAAAUGGAAUUUAACCACUGUUGUAUUAUUACAAAAUACAUAAGUCGUCCCUCUACUUCUUAUUUAUGGUUAUAAAUUCAAGAAGUAUGUGUGUGGAUUGAGUGGAUGAGGUAAAACAAUGAUAUUUUUGUCGUGUCAUAUGGUGGUGGGGACGGAAUACGUUGGAUCCGAGGGGACGUUGAGAAUGCUGAAAUUGCCUGGAAACCAUUUGGCUGUUGAAAGUCCAACAUUUUAGAGGUUGCCUCUCUUUCAGGGGAGAGAUGCUGAGCUGCGUGACCCGAAUGUAACAGGCGCGGCACUAGUUGCUGUUAAAACCGUGGGAUUUCUCAUUUCUGGCUACCGGAGCAUUCGCCGAGAUUUUGGGCUGUUAAAUGAAGAGCAGAUUUUUUUUUUUUUUUUACACUAAUAACACAAAGCAUGUUGUGGUGUGGUGUGAAUUUGAAAGUGCGGAUUACCGUCGAAGAGAAUGGAAGAACAGAGGAGAUGUGUCACAUUCGGGGAGCAGUAAAUGAAGUUGAGAGCUGUGCAGGCUUUGAUGUCUGUGAAUCAGUGGACACUUCCACAAGACGCAUUCAUCAUUUCCUAUAUUUUUAGCUCUGCUUUAAAAUGAGCUAAACUCAAGGUUUCGUUUUAACAUUUUGGGGCGGAUGAAGAGUUACGGAGGUCCAACCACCGGACAUUCGGAGUGUCAAACCCCAUAUUUCCUGCAUCCUCGUCCAUUUGGAUGCAGACAUUUAUGCUAGAAAUGUCAUUUAUUUAAAACAAAAUCAAGAAUUCAGGCCACUGUUCAAAAACAAAAUCAAAUGCAGCUGUGCUGUCGGGCGUUCUCGGGUUCAUCUCUGCUGAGUCGACACAUGGCAGGCACGCACAGGUCGGCCCAGCGCUGCAUCACGUUACACAUCGGAUCCAUCUCUACUGUUUGGGGGGAGGGGGGGUGAGAGCAAAGGAGGAACCCUGAAUCCACACUGUCCAUGACCGUGGUCAGCAGUGGCGAAGGGGCAUUCACCAGGAUGUCACCGUCCGCCACGCGCUCCUGCAGCCACGACAGUGCCGGGUCGACCCCAUCUGCAAGAGGCCGCCGCCUCUGUGUGUGUGUGUGUGUUUGGUGCGUGAGGUUUUCCAUGUGCAUGUUCUCAUUUGCAUAACCGUGGGCUUUUGAGUUCCUUGAUAAAAGACAAAGUUAAAAGGUCCACCAACAGCGGCGUUUUCACCCUGAAAGCGGCCUUCAGCACAUCCAAGCCGUCCGGCUGGUGCUCUGCAGCCUUCCAGAGCGAUCAACCACUCUCUUUAAUCUCUCUCACACACAAACAAACACACACACACACACACACACACAGGCAAAAAGCUUUCGGAGGCAUCCAACUGUACCAGAGCCGUGAUCAAAAAUGAAUGUGCUGCCACGUCUUCUUAAGAUGCUUUAAUUCAAACCUCAUAUUCAAAGAUCCCAAACAACGACCUUUAAAUGAUUCACAUCAACACCAAGACUGAUGCAGCGCUUUGCUUUUGAAAGGAAAUAAUAGCAAAAGGGUUUAAGUGUUUCGGGUGAAGCAUUGGUUAAAGGGAAAGAAAUAGCAGGGGAUGUGCA
This is a long non-coding RNA of Gasterosteus aculeatus aculeatus (three-spined stickleback), 5416 nucleotides long. NCBI's taxonomy places the organism in Eukaryota, Metazoa, Chordata, Actinopteri, Perciformes, Gasterosteidae. The record is from Ensembl.